Malaclemys terrapin pileata is the source of this 419-nucleotide long non-coding RNA. RefSeq lists it as uncharacterized. Lineage: Eukaryota; Metazoa; Chordata; Testudines; Emydidae. The transcript has 3 exons. The record is from RefSeq and is a predicted model, not a curated record.
GGAGACAUAUCUACAGAGAGAUCUAGAGAUAGCUCUUUCCUAGUGUUCUGAUCCAUAUCAGAACUCGGGUGUGCUGCUUUUAAAGAGCAUGGGAGAAGAUGGAGAUCACUUCCAGGAAAUAACACCCCACUCCCCGCUGGAAGGGAUUGAUGUGAAAGGAAGCAGUAAAGUAACGGGGAGGCAGGAGGGAGAUUGAAGAAGAGAAGUGAAAAGGAACGCAUUCGCUCCUCAGCACUGAAAUGCCAAUAACCAAGUUUUUCUCUUUCAUGCGUACGAAACAGAAUCCAGGAGUGACUGAAUGACGACAUAAACCGUUGUCUCUCUGAUCGAGGCUAUCGAGGUCAUCGCUAGGUCUGCUGACGUGCUUGCUUUGGAAAGAUUGUCAAAGCAGCCCAGAGCUUUGGACAGGCACUUUUCAA